GUGAAUCAUCGAAUUUUUGAACGCAAAUUACACUCUCCUCGGAGAGUAUGACUGUUUGAGGGUCAGCCUAUAAAAAAUCGACAUCGUUGCUGUUUCGCGGUGGCGUUCGUCGGAAAUUGGGUCAUCUUAAAUCUUUUUGAUUUAAACGACUUAAAAUUUUCUUUUGGUUCCAUUAACGUUCCUAAGAUUGAUUUCUUCACACGUUUAAUAUAUCGAUUUUUAUUGGACGUUAC
RNAcentral lists this unclassified non-coding RNA (233 nucleotides) under Glomus sp. RNAcentral describes it as "partial contains 5.8S ribosomal RNA and internal transcribed spacer 2". The stretch from base 1 to 65 matches the Rfam family "5.8S ribosomal RNA", at positions 84 to 154 of the family's 154-position model. Lineage: Eukaryota; Fungi; Glomeromycota; Glomeromycetes; Glomerales; Glomeraceae. The record is from RNAcentral.